UCAUUAAUUCUCUACAAUUAAGCCCUAAGUAAAACGACCCUUUCACUAGCAAUAAAAACUCAUUGUGCUCAAACCAUCAGCUCAAAAUGUUUAAACCUAAUUAUUAUUACUAGUUUUCAUGAUCUCUUAUAAACCCAAUAACAAUCUCAUUUUCAUUCGAUAUAGGACUAUUGGGGUGUCACAGACUUCCCCUGCUCUAGUCCUAACGUCGUCGUCAGUCCAAUAACACACAGUCCAAAAUCACCAAACGUUGUAAGAUUUAUCUCGCUAGCCUUGUCAUUCCGGCCCUAAUUUAAUCUUUCCCUUGUUAUUUCGACCCUGACUUAACCUAUCACUCCGACCUUGACUCAGUUAAGACUCAUUUUACGCUUCUAGCUAAUGAUUGGCUCUGAUAUCAAGCUUACAAAACGGAUCUCGAGACA
RNAcentral lists this long non-coding RNA (422 nucleotides) under Ananas comosus (pineapple). RNAcentral describes it as "long non-coding RNA (ACOM_LNC004721)". Lineage: Eukaryota; Viridiplantae; Streptophyta; Magnoliopsida; Poales; Bromeliaceae. The record is from RNAcentral.